GGAGGAGCUCAGGGUUAUGAUCUAGGCAAUUAGCUAAUUUUAAAAUUGGGGCGGGCAAAGGGAGAAGCUAUAAUUGAAAUGGCUACAAUUGGAUCCAAUUAAGGCUAGAUACAGUAUUCUGAAAAUGGGCCACCUAACUUUCUAUUUCUCUAUUUCUAUGGGUAAAUGAAUUAUUUCAAAUUAUUUUCAGAAUUAUUUAAGAAAAUGUGAAAGCCUAGGGUAAAAAAUUACUGGAAGGGAUAGAAGGAAACAUACCAGAAUGUUUGUCUUUGGCAGAUUGAUUUUUUUGUUCAUUUAAAAAUAUUUUUCCAGGAUUGGGGCUUGCCCACCAUGACCAUACAUUUAGAAGCAGGAAAGAAAACGCCAUUUGUUAAACAAUGAAAGUAUAGUAUGCAUCAUCAAAGAGGUCAGGCUCUGCCUCUCCUGAGCUCAGACUCUCCAUCCUCGUCCCCCUGGAUCUGAGGUGUAUCCCUCCUUUAGAGAAUGGGAGGCACAGGGUCCCAAGGCAGCCUGCUGAGUGGGCUAUAAAAAGAAGUGGGUCUCAACUGCAGGGAGACAGGUAGGGUGCAGAGGAGGACUUGAUAUUUUAUAACAAGAUAUACAAUGUCCUGUUUAUACGUUGAUAGCAAUGGCCCUGGAGAGAGAUUAAUAAUUCAGAAGAGAGGGCUUCAUUUCAGGAGCCAGGUCCUUAGGAGGAGUAGAGGGCAAAGGACUCUUAGCAAUCGGUGGGAGCAGGAAGAGUUUUUCCAUUAUAGCAGGAAAGCAGACAAAACUAUGAAUAAAGAUGCGGUA
RNAcentral lists this long non-coding RNA (792 nucleotides) under Marmota monax (woodchuck). Lineage: Eukaryota; Metazoa; Chordata; Mammalia; Rodentia; Sciuridae. The record is from RNAcentral.